Molecule: long non-coding RNA, 2389 nt
Organism: Vespa mandarinia (Asian giant hornet)
Lineage: Eukaryota; Metazoa; Arthropoda; Insecta; Hymenoptera; Vespidae
Source: RefSeq, a predicted model, not a curated record
UUAACAGCCUUAAAAUGUUAAAUUCAACUAAUAGUUUAAGUAUUGGUAAUACCAAAUAUCAAUUUAUAAUUUAUUUUAUUUUAUAAAAAUGACUAUGACGUUGUAUUUACCCAAUGCUUUGGCGCUGUAAUCGCAAUUGUGGCGGUCUCGUGGCGACUGUGACCCAUCCUCCGGCAAUACACAUAAUUAACACGCCUCGGCGCCAUCAAACGCACACGUGGGAAACUAACUAAAUAAAGUGAGAAACAAACAACAAAGACGUCGAAAACAAAGUAAACGACAAAGAUGCCGAGAACACAAAAGAAAUCAUUUAUUCUUUCUUGGACUCUUCUCGAAGUCACUGCUGUAACUGCUGAAAGUCACAAGCUGAUCUAUUGUAUAUCGAACAAAACUAAAUAAAAAUAAUACUAUUGUUAUUUGAUGUGCAAAGUUUCAGCGCGUAAACUAUAGACGACAUUUCUUAUUAUUAGAUCGAACAUUAGAUCGAAAUAGGGCUGUACAUAAAUAAGAUAUAAUUUACUUAUACAUUUUUAUGUAAAGAAUUCAAAAAGUACACAAUAUGUUAAUAUGAUAUCCAUGAAUGUACGGCGUAGAACGAACCAGUUGCGAGAAUGUUUUCACUUGAGCGUUGACGAAACUGUGUUUAUUUGAUUAGAAUAACGAUUACCCAUCGUCACGGAAAAGUUACAAAAAAUGCCCAAAGUGGCUAAGAUGAAAAACAAAGCACCCGAGAAAAUUUAAAUCAUAGCAAAACAGCUAUUAAGAGAAACAAAGAAAAAAAUCUUUAUGCAAUACUGUUAUACCUAUCUAUAAUUUUACAUAGAGAAUAAUUCAUUUGUAAGUAUCCCCUUUUAUCCACCUAAGCAGAAAAUAAAAAAUCCCCAUAAAUUGGUUGAUUAUCAAUAUGGAAAAUGAAAUACCUAUGACUACAAUAUGUGUAAGAAUCAUAUGGUUAUAACGAAUCUGAUGAAAUAUGCCCGAUGGGAAAAAAAUUAGAAACAAUGCAAAGAGCAAGAGAUUUAUUAUAGAAACACGUCAAGUUUUUGAACGAUGGAUGGAAUGGGGACCUGACUAAGAGGCAUGGUAAACAUAAAUUAAAUUUGAAUUACGAUAUAAAGAAAUACAAAGAGCUAGGUAGAGAUAUAUAAUUGUAUAGGGAGAUAUAUAGUUUUGUAAUAAAUGUAGGACGCAAAGUUUAUGAAGAUGUUAUAAACUUUUUCGGAGAUGAAAACUUAGAUGAAAAGCUAUUUAUAGCAUUUGCAGGAUUUGAAAAAGGACAAAGAGAAGUAUUAUUUUAAGAUAACAAUAUAUUUUGUAUCUCUGUUAUAAGUAUAAUUUUAAUAUUUCUCUGAUAGCAUGAUAAAACAAAAAUAAUUUCUAAGUAUGCUUUAGACAAUAUUUCAAAAGAAGGAACAAAAGAAAUAUAUGAUGCAUAUACCAUACACGAAAAGAAAUAUGAUGAUUUUGCAAGUAAUUUAUACUAUAAAGAUUAAGAUUUAUUUAAUACGAAAUAUAAAUUUAAAAGUUUUAAGUAUUAAUAUGGAUUUGUACAAAUUUAUAAAAAAAUAACACAAAUUUCAUAACAUUUUUAAAUAGGCAUUGAAGAUGUAAUAAUUACUAAAAGAAAAUUUCAAUAGGAGCAAGCAGUCAAGGAAAAUUCUUCUAUGAUGCUCGGUUUGACUAUUUGAGAUUAGUAAAAUCUAAAGAAAAUCAUAAUGUUGUAAGAGCAUAUGAACGAGCUAUAGCAAAUGUCCCUUCUACUAAGGUAAUGAAUAUUUAUAUUUUAACAAUUUUGAAGUCAAAUUGAAGUUCCUUUCCAUUAAAUAAAUUUUUUAUCGGAGCAUGGAAACGAUAUGUCUAUCUGUACAUAAAUUAUGCUUUGUAUGAAGAAAUUGACACGGAAGUUAUAGAUAGAUGUCGUCAAAUUUACAGUUUGGAUAUAUCUGAACUUUUAUGGAAGUCAUAUAUAGAUUUUGAAAUAUCUCAGGAUGAAAUAGAAAAUAUCAGACAACUAUUAGAGAGAUUAUUAGAACGAAAUGUUCAUGUCAAAUUAAUUCUCCAUCGGAAGAUGAUGGUGAUAAUGUUACCUUAGCUCGUAGAAUUUUUGAACAUGGGAAUUAUGCAUUAUUUGCAAACGGUGACAAAGAAAGGAGAAUAUUACUUUUGGGAACAUGGAGAGAUUUCGAAAAAGAGAAAGGAGACAAACAAAAUAGAUUAAUAUUAUUGUCAAAAUGCCUAGAAGAAUUAAAUGAAGAAGUCGAAUGGUUGAAGAAGAUGGAGUAUGUAGUUUUUAUAAUAUACAUUAAAUAGUACAAUAACAUUGAAUAGUUUUGGAGGAAUUUAAAUUAAAAAGAAGUAUUCUUAAUUUAUAUUAAUAAUAAUCUAUAUU